Molecule: ribosomal RNA, 471 nt
Filed under: uncultured Glomus
Lineage: Eukaryota; Fungi; Glomeromycota; Glomeromycetes; Glomerales; Glomeraceae
Description: SSU rRNA
Rfam family: Eukaryotic small subunit ribosomal RNA
Source: RNAcentral
AGCAGCCGCGGUAAUUCCAGCUCCAAUAGCGUAUAUUAAAGUUGCUGCAGUUAAAAAGCUCGUAGUUGAAUUUCGGGACCAUCAUGUCGGUCGUGCCUCGGUACGUACUGGUAUUAUUGGUUUCUCCCUUCUGAAGAACCUCGAUGCCAUUAAUUUGGUGUCGUGGGGAAUCAGGACUGUUACUUUGAAAAAUUAGAGUGUUUAAAGCAAGCAUACGCUUGAAUACAUUAGCAUGGAAUAAUGAAAUAGGACGUUUGAUUCUAUUUUGUUGGUUUCUAGGAUCGACGUAAUGAUUAAUAGGGAUAGUUGGGGGCAUUAGUAUUCAAUUGUCAGAGGUGAAAUUCUUGGAUUUAUUGAAGACUAACUACUGCGAAAGCAUUUGCCAAGGAUGUUUUCAUUAAUCAAGAACGAAAGUUAGGGGAUCGAAGACGAUCAGAUACCGUCGUAGUCUUAACCAUAAACUAUGCCGAC